Molecule: ribosomal RNA, 556 nt
Filed under: uncultured bacterium
Lineage: Bacteria
Description: bacterial SSU rRNA
Rfam family: Bacterial small subunit ribosomal RNA
Source: RNAcentral
CCUACGGGAGGCAGCAGUGGGGAAUAUUGGACAAUGGGCGCAAGCCUGAUCCAGCAAUGCCGCGUGAGUGGUGAAGGCCUUAGGGUCGUAAAGCUCUUUUACCAGGGAUGAUAAUGACAGUACCUGGAGAAUAAGCUCCGGCUAACUCCGUGCCAGCAGCCGCGGUAAUACGGAGGGAGCUAGCGUUGUUCGGAAUUACUGGGCGUAAAGCGUACGUAGGCGGUUAUUCAAGUCAGAGGUGAAAGCCCGGGGCUCAACCCCGGAACGGCCUUUGAAACUAGGUAGCUAGAAUCUUGGAGAGGUCAGUGGAAUUCCGAGUGUAGAGGUGAAAUUCGUAGAUAUUCGGAAGAACACCAGUGGCGAAGGCGACUGACUGGACAAGUAUUGACGCUGAGGUACGAAAGCGUGGGGAGCAAACAGGAUUAGAUACCCUGGUAGUCCACGCCGUAAACGAUGAUAACUAGCUGUUCGGGCACUUGGUGCUUGAGUGGCGCAGCUAACGCAUUAAGUUAUCCGCCUGGGGAUACGGUCGCAAGNUUAAAACUUAAGGAAUUGA